UAAUCUGAAUGUAUUUUCAUGGAAAUAUUGUAUUAUGUUUGUAAUAUUAAAUUAAGGUGUCUUAAAAAGCUGUAUCAUUUUAUCUUUGGUGUAUUGCCACUAGUUGGCAUGUUGUGCAAAGCUUAAAUGUAAUUAUGUUUGUAUGAUAAAAAAAAAUAUGUAUUAGCAAAUGUUUGAAUGUCAUUUCACUGUCACAAAAAGUAGUUUAUAUGCUAUGAAAUAUGAAAUCUCAAUAAAAUGUGUAUUAUUUUAAACAGAAAAAGGCAUGUUUGCAUAAAUAAGGAAAUCCACAUAAAUGUUUUGCCAAUUUUUUACAUAGAUUUAGUCUGUUUAUAAACAUAUUUUCUAAAUUUAGCUACAUAGCUUUGACAAACAACUGUUCUAAUUCUACAAUAAGAAAAACUCAUCUUCAACCACCAAAGCCAACUAUUAAGGUAGUUAAAAUACUCAUAUUUUGUUUUUGUGAUCCAUUUGAAAUAAGAGUUGGUUCUCAUACAGUCAGUUAAGUAACUUUCAAAAAUUUAAACAGAUUUGUCUUGGCAUGAUUUUAUCAUAAUUUUUUUUUUUAUUUAUCAGUUUUUAAGUUUAAUAGGACUGUUUUGUCUUCUUCUGUUUAUCUAUUUACUAUAUUUUGUAUUUCUUUGAUAUACUACAGCUUUGCUAUUAUUGCAGUCAAAUUGCAUCAACUGUAUUAUCAUUAGUGAUAUACAAUUGGUGCCUUGUUUAUGAGGUUGACAAUUUGUAGAGUUUUAUUUAUGGCGUUGUUAAAAAAUGCAGGAUCUCAUCAUUUUUAAGUUGUUCUCUCCAAAUUCAAAUGCGAUCAUUUUUACCCUAAAUAUUUCAUUUGGAAUAGAUGUAGGAGUUACAGUGUAUUAAAAUUAACAGUACAUCGUCUUUAAGUAUACAUUUUAUUUGUACUCAGCUCUUAACAGAAUAGAAAUGCUCUGCAAAGCCUGGCUUUCUAUUGGUUUUUAAGCUAUGUACAAUUGAAAUUUAUAGUUCAAGACAAUGUACGGUUAUUCUAUAUUCAUGCUAUAUAGAAAUUGUUAUUUUAACACCACUUUCUUUAUGUUUCUACAUUUGACACUAACAUCAGGACAAUGCAUGUUUGUCACACUUUUUUCAGUUUUAAAUUUGUUUAGGGGUAUUUUAAUACAUAAACAUUAACCAUAAUUGAUAGAAUGUGAAAAGCUUUUUGUAAUACAAUUUAAAAAACCUUAAGUAUUUAAUUGAUUAUCAGAAGAUGACUUGAACAAGUCAGUGGCCCUUAAUUAUUAGAAUAUGAUGCACAGAACAAUCAUGUUUUUACAUUACAUAUUGUGUGUUGUUAUUGUUGUGUAGAACAAAUGUUGUGAUUGUGUUUUAACCUAUAAUUGACUAUUAAAUUUAAUUUUAAGAUCACCAAUAAAGAUCCAUGAGACUG
This 1423-nucleotide long non-coding RNA is filed under the name Mytilus galloprovincialis (Mediterranean mussel). The record is from RNAcentral. Lineage: Eukaryota; Metazoa; Mollusca; Bivalvia; Mytilida; Mytilidae.